UACGAAGGGGGCUAGCGUUGUUCGGAAUCACUGGGCGUAAAGGGCGCGUAGGCGGCUUUGUAAGUCGGGGGUGAAAGCCUGUGGCUCAACCACAGAAUUGCCUUCGAUACUGUAGAGCUUGAGACCGGAAGAGGUUAGUGGAACUGCGAGUGUAGAGGUGAAAUUCGUAGAUAUUCGCAAGAACACCAGUGGCGAAGGCGGCUCACUGGCCCGGUACUGACGCUGAGGUGCGAAAGCGUGGGGAGCAAACAGG
Molecule: ribosomal RNA, 253 nt
Filed under: uncultured bacterium
Lineage: Bacteria
Description: partial 16S ribosomal RNA
Rfam family: Bacterial small subunit ribosomal RNA
Source: RNAcentral